This 492-nucleotide ribosomal RNA is filed under the name uncultured bacterium. RNAcentral's name for it is "partial 16S ribosomal RNA". It matches the Rfam family "Bacterial small subunit ribosomal RNA", at positions 28 to 507 of the family's 1533-position model. The record is from RNAcentral.
GAUGAACGCUGGCGGCGUGCCUAACACAUGCAAGUCGAACGGAAGGACAGUAAGCUCGUGCGGUUCCGGGUGGCGGGUGGCGGGCGGGUGACGAGUGCAUCGUGCUCUUCUAUUUCGGGGAUGAUAACGUAAGAAGGUAUACGAUAAGACAGAAUAUCAUGCACCGGGGAGUGCAGAGGAAAGUGGCGGCCGUUGGGGUUGUAAUAGCUGGUGCCGGAUUAGCUAGUUGGGCGGGUAAGGGCCUAGCAAGGCGACGAUACGUGGCCGGUCUGAGAGGAUGAUCGGCCACACUGGAACUGAGCCACGGUCCAGACUCCUACGGGAGGCAGCAGUAGGGAAUGUUAGGCAAUGGGCGCAAGCCUGACCCAGCCAUACCGCGUGAGUGAAGAAGGCCUUCGGUUCGUAAAGCCCUCUUGUUGGGUAAGAACAGCUGUAGGUUUAGACGCCGCUUUUCUGACGGUACCGAAUGAAGAAGCACCGGCUAACUACGUG